GGAAGAUGUCAGAAAGGGUAAACCCCUUGUGUGACAUUUCAUGAGUCCCUUUUGUUCCAGAAGUUUGAUCCUUAGGUGGUUAAAGGGACUCUCCAGUGCCAGGAAAACAAUCUGUUUUCCUGGCACUGCAGGUCCCCUCUCCCUCCCACCUCCCAUCCCCGAUUGCUGAAGGGGUGAAAACCCCUUCAGUCACUUACCAGAGGCAGCGACAUGUCCCACGUCGCUGCUUCUUCCUCCGCCACUACUCCUCCGAUUCAUCACGUCAACCGGCGGGGGAGACCUAAUG
Molecule: non-coding RNA, 286 nt
Organism: Pelobates cultripes (western spadefoot toad)
Lineage: Eukaryota; Metazoa; Chordata; Amphibia; Anura; Pelobatidae
Source: the annotation of a GenBank genome assembly